RNAcentral lists this long non-coding RNA (243 nucleotides) under Elaeis guineensis (African oil palm). Its description in RNAcentral is "long non-coding RNA (EGUI_LNC060890)". Lineage: Eukaryota; Viridiplantae; Streptophyta; Magnoliopsida; Arecales; Arecaceae. The record is from RNAcentral.
ACUCAAAGCCUCAAUUUGAUCGAUCUUCUUGAGAGUGCUAGCUCGCAUGAAAAUCUUCUUCUUGACCAAUCUGGAUCAUUUCUUCAAAUCUUUGAAAUCUUUCCAGAGAUUAAAGAUGAACUUUUGGAGGAGAUGAAGAGAUGAAAGAAAGAUGAAAAAGAAAAUAAUUUUUUUCUAAUUUAUUUUCUCUUCCCAAACCCAAAGGAUCAAAAAUAUAAAAUUUAAAUUUUUGUGCAUACCCCA